UACGUAGGGGGCGAGCGUUGUCCGGAUUUAUUGGGCGUAAAGAGCUCGUAGGCGGCUUGGCAAGUCGGGUGUGAAACCUCCAGGCUCAACCUGGAGACGCCACUCGAUACUGCUAUGGCUAGAGUCCGGUAGGGGACCACGGAAUUCCUGGUGGUAGCGGUGAAAUGCGCAGAUAUCAGGAGGAACACCGGUGGCGAAGGCGGUCGUCUGGGCCCGGA
Molecule: ribosomal RNA, 218 nt
Filed under: uncultured bacterium
Lineage: Bacteria
Description: partial 16S ribosomal RNA
Rfam family: Bacterial small subunit ribosomal RNA
Source: RNAcentral